GCGAAGUAGCUGAUUUCACACUGUCAAGAAAAGUCUCUAUCGAGGUUAAAGGUACCCGUACCGCAAACCGACACAGGUGGGUGAGGAGAGUAUCCUAAGGCCAGCGAGAGAACUGUUGUUAAGGAACGCGGCAAAAUGACCCCGUAACUUAGGGAUAAGGGGUGCCACCAUCAGGUGGCCGCAGAGAAUAGGCCCAAGCGACUGUUUACCAAAAACAUAGGUUUCUGCU
This 229-nucleotide ribosomal RNA is filed under the name Clostridioides difficile. RNAcentral's name for it is "partial 23S ribosomal RNA". It matches the Rfam family "Bacterial large subunit ribosomal RNA", at positions 1585 to 1827 of the family's 2925-position model. Lineage: Bacteria; Bacillati; Bacillota; Clostridia; Peptostreptococcales; Peptostreptococcaceae. The record is from RNAcentral.